This 1850-nucleotide ribosomal RNA is filed under the name marine metagenome. RNAcentral's name for it is "bacterial LSU rRNA". It matches the Rfam family "Archaeal large subunit ribosomal RNA", at positions 1117 to 2987 of the family's 2987-position model. The record is from RNAcentral.
GAGUUAAGGUCCCCAAGUAACAGCUAAGUGUUAAAGAACAAAUAGUGUUUAACGGCAUAGACAGCUGGAAGGUUGGCUUAGAGGCAGCCAUCCUUUAAAGAGUUCGUAACAGAUCACCAGUCAAGUUCUUGAGCCUAGAAAAUGGACGGGACUAAGUUGUUCACCGAUACUUUGGGCCACCGAAAGGUGAUGCGGUAGAGAGGCGUCGUGCGCGGGUGGAAGUGGGGCCGAGAGGUCCUGUGGACCGCGUUCGAAUGAUAAUCAUGGAAAGAGUAGUAGCGUAGAUGGGUGAGAAUCCCAUCCGCCGGAGGGGCUAGGGUUCCUCGACGAUGUUCAUCAGUCGAGGGUUAGUCGGUCCUAAGGUUCCCCCUAACAGGAGGAAUCGAAAGGGAAGCAGGUUAAAAUUCCUGCACCAAUUCAUAUUUUGUCCAGUUCCUGACACAUCGGGUCUUGUGGAGCACUCUUGUCGGAGUGUUGCCUUGAGCGAUAAAUUUGUGGAGUACCGUAAUGGUGAGAAGCAAACUAAGCUUUUGGGAGGCGGAGUAUUUCGCUUCUGCGUUAGCCUGGUGUCCGUGAAAAGGGAGCUGGAGCCGUAUGAGUUGUCCGUACCGAGAUCUGACACAGGUGCCCCUAGGUGAGUAGCCUAAGGCGUCGCGGCAGAAUCCGGGCGAGGGAAUUCGGCAAAUUAGCCCCGUACCUUUGGUAUAAGGGGUGCCAGCUCUGAAGAGAGCUGGUCGCAGUGACUAGGGAGCUCCGACUGUUUAUUAAAAACACAGGUGGCUGCUAGUCCGUAAGGAUGUGUAUAGCCGCUGAAUCCUGCCCAGUGGCAGUAUCUGAAACCAGGUUUCAACCUGACGAAGGACUGCUAAACGGCGGGGGUAACUAUGACCCUCUUAAGGUAGCGUAAUACCUUGUCGCUUAAUUGGCGACUUGCACGAACGGCCUAACGAGAGCUCUACUGUCCCCGCCCGGAGCCCGAUGAAAUUGACUUACUGGCGCACAGUCCAGUACGUCCCAGCCGCAAGCGAAGACCCCGUGGAGCUUUACUGCAACCUGCCGUUGUGGCACGAGUUGUUAUGUGUAGCGUAGACGGGAGACAUUACACAGGUGCGAGCGCUAGCUCGUCGCCGAGUCACCGAUGAAACACCGUCCUUUUCGAUUCGUCCCACUCACCUCUUCGGAGGAACCCCGGUAGGCGGGCAGUUUGGGUGGGGCGCCACUCCCUCGAAAAAAUAACAAGGGAGCCCAAAGGUCAGCUUAGGUAGGUCAGGAAUCUACCGUUAAGUGCAAGGGCAAAAGCUGGCUUGACGUGGUUUGGCAACACAACAAACCACGAUGUGAAAGCAGGGCCUAGCGAACCAACCAGCGCCGUUAGUAGGUGCGGUUGAUAACAGAAAAGUUACCCCGGGGAUAACUGAGUUGUCUGGAGCAAGAGCCCACAUCGACCUCCAGGCUUGCUACUUCGAUGUCGUCUCUUCCUAUCCUGGGUGUGCAGAAGCACCCAAGGGUGGGGUUGUUCGCCCAUUAAAAGGGAUCGUGAGAUGGGUUUAGACCGUCGUGAGACAGGUUUGUUGCUAUGUGCUGGGACUGUCCAAUGCCUGAGGGGAAGGAUCCUCUAGUACGAGAGGAACGAGGGUUCGCAGCCACUAGUUUACCAGUUGUCUGACAAGGCACCGCUGGGCAGCCACGCUGUAAGGGAUAAGAGCUGAAAGCAUCUAAGCUCGAAACCCGCCUCAAAACGAGGCAUUUUGACACUUAUAGAAGAUAAGAUUGAUAGGACCGGGGUGUAAGCACCGAGAGCUAUGGUGUUGUUUGAAGUAUUACUUCGGUAAUGCGGAUAAUAACAUUUC